RNAcentral lists this ribosomal RNA (429 nucleotides) under uncultured Lactobacillus sp. RNAcentral describes it as "bacterial SSU rRNA". It matches the Rfam family "Bacterial small subunit ribosomal RNA", at positions 355 to 776 of the family's 1533-position model. Lineage: Bacteria; Bacillati; Bacillota; Bacilli; Lactobacillales; Lactobacillaceae. The record is from RNAcentral.
UAGGGAAUCUUCCACGAUGGGCGCAAGCCUGAUGGAGCAACACCGCGUGAGUGAAGAAGGGUUUCGGCUCGUAAAACUCUGUUGUUGAAGAAGAACGUGCGUGAGAGUAACUGUUCAUGCAGUGACGGUAUUCAACCAGAAAGUCACGGCUAACUACGUGCCAGCAGCCGCGGUAAUACGUAGGUGGCAAGCGUUAUCCGGAUUUAUUGGGCGUAAAGCGAGCGCAGGCGGUUGCUUAGGUCUGAUGUGAAAGCCUUCGGCUUAACCGAAGAAGUGCAUCGGAAACCGGGCGACUUGAGUGCAGAAGAGGACAGUGGAACUCCAUGUGUAGCGGUGGAAUGCGUAGAUAUAUGGAAGAACACCAGUGGCGAAGGCGGCUGUCUGGUCUGUAACUGACGCUGAGGCUCGAAAGCAUGGGUAGCGAACAGG